UGAGGGAAAGUUGCAAAGAACUUUGAAGAGAGAGUUCAAGAGUACGUGAAACUGCUCAGGGGCAAACGGGUGGGCCCUCGAAGUCCGCGCGGAGAGGGAUUCAGUCCCGAGCCGUGGGGGACGCGUCGUCGGAGAUUUCUGGGUGAGACUCCGGCCUCGUCGUCCUUCCCAAGGCCGGGGACGCACUUCUCUCUCCCGAAGGACGCCGCAGCCUCUCGGAGGUCGGCAGUAAGGAGCAAUGUAGGUAGGUGGCGUGGGCGUCGGUCUCGAACCGGCGCCCCGUGUCUGGCCUGUUGGUCCAGGCGCGACUCCCGAGAGAGGGAAGCGUCUCGUUCGCGAGACUGGCCGUUGCCUCGCUCUGGCGAGCGGAGGGACGGGAUCAGGGACGCUGAGUGCUCCGUGCGUCACCGAGCGAGUGUCGCCGGACUCGCGGUACCCGCUGGGUCCCGCCCAAACCGCGGCGUAUGGCAAGCGGCUUGCGGCGAGUAGGUCGGUAACCCACCCGACCCGUCUUGAAACACGGACCAAGGAGUCUAACAUGUGCGCGAGUCAGUGGGACUCGAUCAAGCCCACGGGCAUAAACGAAAGUGACGAAACAUAGUUAUUGUGUCGGGAUCCCCGUCAGCGAUGGCGGGGCGCACCGACGGGCUGGGUCGCAGCGUUAGCUGGACCCGGAGCCUGAGCGUACACGUUGGGACCCGAAAGAUGGUGAGCUAUGCCCGGGCAGGUCGAAGCUAGAGGAAACUCUGGUGGAGGACCGCAGCGGUUCUGACGUGCAAAUCGAUCGUCGAACCUAGG
This 798-nucleotide ribosomal RNA is filed under the name Pholcus jinwum. RNAcentral's name for it is "partial 28S ribosomal RNA". It matches the Rfam family "Eukaryotic large subunit ribosomal RNA", at positions 354 to 915 of the family's 3401-position model. The record is from RNAcentral. Lineage: Eukaryota; Metazoa; Arthropoda; Arachnida; Araneae; Pholcidae.